This 73-nucleotide transfer RNA is filed under the name Trebouxiophyceae sp. MX-AZ01. Its description in RNAcentral is "tRNA-Met". It matches the Rfam family "tRNA". From Rfam's summary of the family: Transfer RNA (tRNA) molecules are approximately 80 nucleotides in length. Their secondary structure includes four short double-helical elements and three loops (D, anti-codon, and T loops). The record is from RNAcentral. Lineage: Eukaryota; Viridiplantae; Chlorophyta; Trebouxiophyceae.
AGCGGAGAAGAGAAAAGGCUGUCUCGUCAGGCUCAUAAUCUGAAGAAUGUAGGUUCAAUUCCUACCUCCGCUC